UACGAAGGGGGCUAGCGUUAUUCGGAAUUACUGGGCGUAAAGCGCACGUAGGCGGACUCUUAAGUCAGGGGUGAAAUCCCGGGGCUCAACCUCGGAACUGCCUUUGAUACUGUGAGUCUCGAGACCGGAAGAGGUGAGUGGAAUUCCUAGUGUAGAGGUGAAAUUCGUAGAUAUUAGGAAGAACACCAGUGGCGAAGGCGGCUCACUGGUCCGGUACUGACGCUGAGGCGCGAAAGCGUGGGGAGCAAACAGG
RNAcentral lists this ribosomal RNA (253 nucleotides) under uncultured bacterium. RNAcentral's name for it is "partial 16S ribosomal RNA". It matches the Rfam family "Bacterial small subunit ribosomal RNA", at positions 524 to 776 of the family's 1533-position model. The record is from RNAcentral.